This 57-nucleotide microRNA precursor is filed under the name Parasteatoda tepidariorum (common house spider). RNAcentral describes it as "microRNA pte-mir-35o precursor (pte-mir-35o-2)". Its record names the gene pte-mir-35o-2. Lineage: Eukaryota; Metazoa; Arthropoda; Arachnida; Araneae; Theridiidae. The record is from miRBase by way of RNAcentral.
AGCUAUUAAUGGCUCGGUGAUAGAGGAUUGCACGUCACCGGGAGGUUAAUAUGCUUU